AAGCGAAACAGACCCCUAAGUUGGCGAUUAGGGGUUUGUCGCCGGAGCGUGGCGGCUUCGGCCUGACGAGCUAGCCAAUA
Molecule: non-coding RNA, 80 nt
Filed under: Deltaproteobacteria bacterium
Lineage: Bacteria; Pseudomonadati; Myxococcota; Myxococcia
Source: RNAcentral